This 550-nucleotide long non-coding RNA is filed under the name Gallus gallus (chicken). Lineage: Eukaryota; Metazoa; Chordata; Aves; Galliformes; Phasianidae. The record is from RNAcentral.
UUUUUUUUUUUUUUUAAUAUGUAUUUCCUCUUCGUUAUGCAACGUAGUGGUACUGAUUGGGGUUGUCUUUGUCUCUCUCCAUAUAGUCUCUGUCAAUGAGAGAUUCAAUCCUCUUUUUCAAGUCUCCAGGCUUUACCGGAAAUUUCAGUUGGUUAUACAAUUCAGAAACAAGGAGAUUGUGACCAAGAGUCUUUCUCAUCUUCAUUAUUCGUACAAUGGCAGCAUCAAUCUGAUACUGUCUGUCUUGAAAUACUCUUUCAGUUGUGCUAACCUGUUCCUCGACUGUUUCUUUCAUCUGGAUUUGAUUGAUCUUUAUUCUAAACAAUUUAUGCUUGAAAUCACCAUUAAAGAUGAAUUUGUCUCCAUCUUCUACAUCCUUGCCCUUUGGAUUUUUAAUCAAUACUCGUGCUUUCCCACAAGCUAAGGACUGCAAGGUUCUUCUUAAUUCACUGUCCUCUAUACCGGUGGCCAUUUUAAUUUCUUCAAAACUGAAUUCAUCUCCUUCAUUAAACAUAAGCAGCACUAAUGUCUGAAAGAGCGACACUUGAAA